CCCUUAGAUGGUCUGGGCGGCACGCGCGCUACAAUGAUGCAUUCAAAAAGUCUUCUGACCUUAGAAGGUUGGGUAUUCUCCAAAGUGCAUCGUGAUGGGAAUAGUUUAUUGCAAUUUUUAAUCUUGAACGAGGAAUUCCUAGUAAGUACAGGUCAUCAACUUGUGUUGAUUACGUCCCUGCCCUUUGUACACACCGCCCGUCGCUCCUACUGAUUGAGUGUCUCGGUGAAUUCUUUGAUCUUCUGUCGAUUCAGUUCACUGAUCCGACGGUGGAAAGUUGAAUGAACUUCGUCACUUAGAGGAAGGAGAAGUCGUAACA
Molecule: ribosomal RNA, 319 nt
Filed under: uncultured eukaryote
Lineage: Eukaryota
Description: partial 18S ribosomal RNA
Rfam family: Eukaryotic small subunit ribosomal RNA
Source: RNAcentral